UGGGACGAUAGUUUGGCAA
This 19-nucleotide microRNA is filed under the name Rhipicephalus microplus (southern cattle tick). Its description in RNAcentral is "rmi-miR-5341". Lineage: Eukaryota; Metazoa; Arthropoda; Arachnida; Ixodida; Ixodidae. The record is from miRBase by way of RNAcentral.